AGAUCUGAAGGUUCAGCUAAGGUCAAUAGAGCAACAUGUCUUUAUUUCCGUCUGGGAUAUUUUUAUAAGUAUGUGACAAGGUAAUUACAGUGCAUAUCUAUUCAAACACUUGUUAGCUAUCGCUCAGAUAGGUACGGUAACCAGAGCCUCUUCAAUCCUUGUUGCAUGCGAAGAUAUCGAUAGGUGAUACCCCAUAGAAGCUGUGAGGAGGAAAGAUGUUUGAACAGAGUGGCAAGGCCAAAAUUUAAGGGGAAAAGGUUAGCGAAGAGUGGCGCCACCUGGUCCUGGAGAGUGAGAGUUCCGCGCCCUCUCCGGAGCCGUUAUGAGAGAAGAUUUCCGACCUCAUCCCAUAACGGAGUCCCGAAGCCAACUCACCCAUACCCGAAAGAAAAGAGAGCCGCCAGCAGCCCGAAUCAGGCCAUGCCCUUGAACCUAGUUCAAAGGCGAUAGAAGAGAGAGCGAUGGGGAUCAGCGGCCCGGGAGCAUUAAACAGAGCAGCUAAGCCAAGAGGGGGAUCAGAGAAAGAAAUUCCCGUAACGGAGGAGCAUGCGCGCCGGACAUAGUGAUCUAGUGAUUUUUUUUGUUCUGAAAGAAAAAGGGAUCCAGAUCAGUGAGAGACCAGGAACCAGGACUAGCGGGACGGGAAAGAGACCCAAGAAGCAUAAGAGGAAUAGGUCACAGCUCCGCCAUCCUGGCUUGCUUUUUGCUGGGCUCGAAGACACAAUCCUGGCCACGUAGAGCGGGUCCCUCGCCCAUUUAGGGAGAGAGAAAAAAUCAAUCAACAUAUUUACUCCCAUUAUUUAUUUUUGUUAAACGUCCCCAU
Drosophila miranda is the source of this 823-nucleotide long non-coding RNA. RefSeq lists it as uncharacterized. The transcript is spliced from 3 exons. The record is from RefSeq and is a predicted model, not a curated record. NCBI's taxonomy places the organism in Eukaryota, Metazoa, Arthropoda, Insecta, Diptera, Drosophilidae.